CAGUAGCCGCGGUAAUACAGAGGGUGCAAGCGUUAAUCGGAAUUACUGGGCGUAAAGCGCGCGUAGGUGGUUUGUUAAGUUGGAUGUGAAAUCACCGGGCUCAACCUGGGAACUGCAUCCAAAACUGGCAAGCUAGAGUAUGGUAGAGGGUGGUGGAAUUUCCUGUGUAGCGGUGAAAUGCGUAGAUAUAGGAAGGAACACAAGUGGCGAAGGCGACCACCUGGACUGAUACUGACACUGAGGUGCGAAAGCGUGGGGAGCAAACAGGAUUAGAUACCCCAGUAGUCCCUGUCUCUUAUAC
This 301-nucleotide ribosomal RNA is filed under the name uncultured bacterium. RNAcentral describes it as "partial 16S ribosomal RNA". It matches the Rfam family "Bacterial small subunit ribosomal RNA", at positions 509 to 807 of the family's 1533-position model. The record is from RNAcentral.